UACGUAGGGUCCGAGCGUUGUCCGGAAUUACUGGGCGUAAAGAGCUCGUAGGUGGUUUGUCGCGUUGUCCGUGAAAACUCACAGCUCAACUGUGGGCGUGCGGGCGAUACGGGCAGACUGGAGUACUGCAGGGGAGACUGGAAUUCCUGGUGUAGCGGUGAAAUGCGCAGAUAUCAGGAGGAACACCGGUGGCGAAGGCGGAUCUCUGGGCCAUUACUGACGCUGAGGAGCGAAAGCGUGGGGAGCGAACAGG
RNAcentral lists this ribosomal RNA (253 nucleotides) under uncultured bacterium. RNAcentral's name for it is "partial 16S ribosomal RNA". It matches the Rfam family "Bacterial small subunit ribosomal RNA", at positions 524 to 776 of the family's 1533-position model. The record is from RNAcentral.